This 16817-nucleotide long non-coding RNA is filed under the name Gossypium raimondii (Peruvian cotton). Its description in RNAcentral is "long non-coding RNA (GRAI_LNC010152)". Lineage: Eukaryota; Viridiplantae; Streptophyta; Magnoliopsida; Malvales; Malvaceae. The record is from RNAcentral.
GUGAUGUAAAGGCUGCAAAUAUAUUGUUGGAUGAGGAAUUUGAAGCAGUUGUCGGAGACUUUGGGCUGGCCAAAUUAAUGGACUACAAAGAUACGCACGUCACAACUGCUGUUCGUGGCACAAUUGGUCAUAUAGCUCCUGAAUACCUAUCAACUGGAAAGUCAUCAGAGAAAACUGAUGUUUUUGGCUACGGUGUCAUGCUUCUUGAACUCAUUACAGGACAGAGGGCUUUCGAUCUAGCUCGGCUUGCAAAUGAUGAUGAUGUCAUGUUGCUUGAUUGGGUAAGUACUGUCUUCUUAUUAUGCUUUUCUUGAUGAUGCAUUUCAAAGUUUGACUUAUCAGUCUUGUCUAGUGUUUUAAUUAUCUAAUUAUCGCAUCACUUGGUUAGCCAAAAGCAAUACACUAAAGAUGGUAUAGCAGAACCACCACUCUUAAAGAACGAAGCUUAAUUUUAUUUUCCUUGCAAGGUGAAAAUGCAAAAGCUGGUGAAUAGAAAGAGUUGAAACUUAACAAUGUUUUCUCUACGAGGUGAAGAGCGAAACAUUAAAUAUAGAAAUAGUUUAUGGGGAGAUUCUAUCCUAUGUUACUCAGAUUUGAGUGUGAGUGUCGGGUAAGGGUGAAGGCUCCUCGAAUACUUUCUGUUCAUUAAUUUUGCUUACACCAUGAAGCAUGCUUUAGGUGGUUGCAUUGAUCCGAGUGUAACUUGAUUCAUAACCAAUGAUAUUUGAGAAUCUUAUGUAAUAAGUUAGUAUAAUCUUGAUAUUGAUUUCUUAUGCCACUAAGAUUCACAUCUUUAUUGACCGUAAUUAUAUUAAAACUCAAGUUAAGCUUAGUACUGGACCAAGUGGUUUUUGUUUCAUUAUUUUCUCGGGUGCUUAAAAAUUUCAGGUAAAAGGGCUUCUGAAAGACAGGAGGUUAGAAACGUUGGUUGAUGCUGAUCUUCAGGGUAAUUACAUAGACCGUGAAGUAGAACAGCUAAUCCAGGUAGCUCUUUUAUGCACUCAAGGCACCCCAAUGGAACGACCAAAGAUGUCCGAAGUGGUCAGGAUGUUGGAGGGUGAUGGAUUAGCCGAAAGAUGGGAAGAGUGGCAGAAAGAGGAAAUGUUCCGGCAAGAGUUUAACCAUAACCACCAACCAAAUGCUGAUUGGAUCAUUGCAGACUCCACUUCUUACCUCCGACCAGACGAAUUAUCCGGUCCUAGAUGACCCCAUUUCUACAAAAAUACAAAACACUUCUGGCGGUCAGAGUUGGUGCAUUGUUCACCAUUUUGUGGAUAUACAAUAUAGGUGUCUCAGGUUUUUCCUCUUCUUUUCAAUUUUUUCUUUGGCCCCAUUUUUAUCUUAUUGUAAUAUAUGGUAAAUGUAUGGAGGUGGUUCUUUUCUUUUUAUAGGGUUGCCAACUGCAGCAGUCAAGAAAAACAUUAGGUGCUAUAAAAAAAAAAAACUGACAAAAACCGAAAUGUUAGUGUUGACUGUUUACGGGAAUACAUACAAUAAAUGAGUUACCACAUUAAAAAUUUUCGAAGAUGCCAUGCUUGAAAAGCAAGAAGGUAAAGGUAUCUGGUCUCCACCUUUUCUCGAUGGUUGUAAGCAGCGACGGCCACAUUGAAAAAUAAGGUAUUUCCGUCAUCUUUAAAAAAUUAGCCGCGUCUAGUAGCUCUGAAUUGUUACUCAUUUGAUAUUGAAAAGUUUAUAUUUCGUUUGUAAAUAACACAAAAACAAAAUAAUCAAUGUUUUAUGUUGAACAAUAUAAAAAAAUUAACACUAAAAAAAUUUACCAUAUUUGCCUCUUCUAAUGCUACUUGAUUAUUUUGCUUCAAUUAGAGUCAUGAUUGGAUUUAUAAACUUUAAUUUAAGGUAAAAACUAAGAAUUUGAAGAGUUUUUGGUUUCGAAACUCGACAGCAAUCACAUUCAGAUCUUUUUAUUAGGGCAUUGCGAACCACAACGUUUCGAAGACUAAUAUGCAGUAUUAGAAUGUGUGGUUCAAAGAUGUAUUAUGGUGUUGUCAUUUGGGGAGUCAAACACGUUAUUUUUAAUGAGAAAGCUUAUAAUAGGAGAUUAUUUACACUUUUUCCUUUAUUAAGUUUUUAUCACACGGGGUUUUUCUUAAUAAGUUUUUAAUUUCGUUGAUGAAUAUCCAAAGGGGAGUGUUAUAAAUCCAUUGAUAAAUAAGUGUCCAUAUAACUCCCAAAAUCCGUAAAGAAUUUAUCUUUAUAUAAUCCAUAAAGAAUUUAGCGUACCUUAAUUCUCUUAUUUGUGUUUUUUUAAUCUAUGGUGAUUGAAAUAUUAUAAAUAGAGGACAUGCAUAAAUUUUUUAUUAAAUUAUAGUAAGAUUUAAUGUGUUUUUAUUAAAUUAUACUUUCAUUUGUGUCUACUUUAUUAUUUUAUUCUUACUAUAGUUUUCUUUGUUUUCAUAAUUAUAAGAGAUUGUUGCAAAUUAACAAUAAAGAUAUGAGAAUAAUGAAAAUGGGAUAAUAUAAGAAGUUUCAAUAUGAAACAUUCUUUUUUUUUAUAUAUAUUUUUCUAAAAUAAUUACAAAACUUAUUAAAUCUUAUCUUUUAAGAAUCCUUACGUGAACAACUAUUUGAACUAAUUAAAUAAUUUAACCUUCUUAUAUUUGCUUGUGUGUGUGUGUGUGUUUUUUUUUUGCUUUCCUUUCACAUUUAUGUAACAUAAUAGUUUGAACGUCUUAUGAAAAGUUCAUCUCAGUAAUGUCAUUAAAUUAUUAAUAAAUUUAUAUUUUAUUUGUUAAAUUUUAAAAAAUUAUAAAAUAGUCAUUGAAUUAUUCGAAUAUUUUUAUUUAAGUCACGGACUGUUAAGUCUUUUUCUCUAAAGUCUAGCCGAUAAUUGCUUUGGGCCGUUUACCAAUGCCAGUAAUUGAAGAUUAUACAAUUCGAACAAUUUUGAAUUCAAUUCAAAGAAAAACUCAGUAAGCGAACCCCUUGUUCUAUUAAAGUAAAAAGAAAUUUCCCGUUCAUUCUUUUAAGGUUCUGUUUUGGAUUAAGUUAAAAGACUGUUUGGUUUGAAUUAAAAAAAAAAUAAGCAUGAGGCAUUUGGUCAAUAAAUAAAAAUUCAAUUAAAAAUUAACUGGUUGAUAAGAAUUUCAGAUUCCUUUAUGUUGAAAAUUAAAAAUAUAUUAAUAUAAGCUUUGAGUAACAAUUCGAUGAUCAGUACUAUAGAGUAGUACGUGUCGACGAGUAGAAGAACAUAUCUUAAAUCCAAGCUAAUCUGAUGGAUGGUGUCAAAAGACUAGAGAAGAAAACCUUUUGGAUUUUGAUUUGUAAAUUUAUUACAUUCAAAGCUAUUUCAUGAAAUAAUUAAACUAUAGAAGAUGAGGGAAAGUUUACCCUUUCGAUUGGUGUCAGAGGUGAGAAUAAAGAAGGCCAUACAAUAGCGAUUUUAACAUUCCGGUGAUUCAAAUAAAAACUUAUAAAUAAUUUAAUGACAAUUUUAUAACUUUUUAAAAUUACAUGACUAAAACAUAGACUUGUUUAUAAUUAAAUAACCUUCAUGGUCACCCAGUAAAAAAAAAUCAAAUCUCCAACUAAUCUACUAUUGUAUAUAUUCUGUUAUAUUAUACCAAAUUUAUAAAGUUUAAUCAAAUCACACAAAUUAAGGAUUAUAUAAAAAAUAGGUACUAAAAUAAUGCAAUUUUUCCCCUUUAGGUACUUCAAACUUUUUUUUGUCAAAGUAGGUACCUAAAAUUUUAUUUCAUUACCACUUUAGGUACCAACCAUUAACUCCUAUUAAAAAAACCCUCUUAACCAAUUAAAUUAUUACAUGUGACAUUUUUAAUUGAAUAAAAAUAUUUAAAAUUAAGAUUUAGAAGAAAUUAAAUUAAAAAUUAUGACAUGUUGCCAGAUUGCUAGUCCGAAAUACGAGAUUGGAUCAAUUUUUUUAUUUUUAAUUUAAUUUAAUUUUUACUUAAUGUUAAUUUUAAAUAUUUUUAUUUAAUUAAAAUGACAUCAUAAUUUGAUUGGUUCAGAGGAUUUUUUUUACGGGAGUUAACAAUUGGUACCUAAAGUCGUAAAGAAAUAAAAUUUUAGGUGCUUAGUUUGACCAAAAAGUUUUACUUUAUCUAAAUGAAAAAAGUUGUAUAGUUUGAAUACCUAUUUUUCAUAUAAGCCUAAAUUAAAAAAAAAUAAAACAAUAAGGGAUGCAUCAAGGUAUAUUUAAAAAAAAAUUCUUUAACAAAAAUACGAGUUAAUUUAAAAAGUUUAAUUUUUUUUAAAAUUCAAAGAUAAUUAAAAAUGUUUAAUUUUUUUAAAAAAAAUUGUAGUUAAAUAUACAAGUGAUUAAAAAAAUAUAAAUUGUCGUCAAUGAGGUCUUGACCCAAAAGUAAGUUUCAUGUCUUAAAAAUAUUUAGAUUUAAGUUCGACUCCCUUCGUAUGUAUAUGUAUGAGUUCUUUUCCAAAUUUAUUAUAGUUAUGUUAGAGUUAAGUGCCCCAAGUGCAUUUUAUAUGUUAUUAUUUAUACUUGUAAUUUUUCCGAAUAGAUUGGUUUAAAUAAAAUUUCAUCAUACAUUAAUAUCGUUUAUAUUUGUUCUCAAUGGUUUUUGCACGCAAAACAAAAUGUAAGCAAAUAUUGGCUCAUUGAUUAUCUAAGGUUUAAUUAAUACCAAGUUGCAUUAUAUAGUCGGAUCAUAAUGUGAGAAGACAACUUAUAUUAAUAGCUAAUCUAAAUAGUCUCUAAUCUAAUCGAAAUUGGAUAAAUCGAUUGAAAGAUUAUUAUGUUGCUUAUCAAGUCUAAUUGGAGAGAUAACUUAUCUUGGGUACCAGAGCGGAUGACUCUCGAAAGAUAGUAAUAUAGAUGUGAUUGUCUAGACAAUACAUCGUAUAGGACCCAAGUUGAAUUUAUCAUAAAUCCAUUUAUGGAUUUAUUCAUUUACGACGUUCGUAGUGUGGCAUGCCUUAAUCUUAUGUGGAUGAUGGAUUAUGUAUGUGCGACUCAUACUUUGAUGUAUUAAAAGCCUAAGUUUAAAUAGAUAAGGAACCAAAAGCUGGUACAUUAAGUAUACGACUUAUAGUAUCAUUCCACAAUAGUGAAUCAUAGCCUUGUAAAGGUAAAUGAUAUCCUCUCAUUGGCUUUACAUAGUAGUUUGAAAAGUAAUGUGGUCACGAGUAAUUUAUCACAAGACAAAUGAUUUAAUUACUAUGUGUUAGUAUUUGACUUUUUCAUAUCGAAAGAUGUAAUGAGAACCAUGAGAUGAUAUAUGAUAAUAUUAGGGGAACGAAUUUUAUCUCAAAGAGAUUAAGGAUAUCCUAUGAGGAUAACACACUUAUGACAAUGUCAUCGGACGAACACUUAUUUAGUUGCUUUCAUAACAGUAUAUAAUAAACUAGAGUUUAGUCAUGAUACUAUAGUGGAAUGACUCCAUGAUUAAAUAAUGUUGUAAUUAAUAGACGAAUAAUUAGAAUUUAAUUACAAACUAUUUGAAUCAUAAUUAUAUAUGUCCAAUCGGUCCCUCCGCUAGUUCGAGAUAACUUGAAACGAAUUGCAUGAAAGAAUUGAUACUAUGGAAUAAAUGAAAAAAACAAGAAAAAUAGAUCGCAUUAAUCACUAUCUGUUGCGAAUGUAUUUUCUCGCUAAGUACAAAAGAUGACUUAGAAAUUAAAUUAAUAUAUUUACAUUAUUAUUUAAUUAUUUGUGUAAUACCCCAUACUUGGCCUAGUCGUUAUGACCAAAUCUUGAGGUAAUACGCUUCCCGUUUGAAAACCCUAAAUGAAAACUAGCUUUGGAAAUUGUGUGAUAUGAAAAUAUUAUUUUUGGCAAUACUCUUAUAUGUUUUUCUUUAGAAAGUCACGCGCAUAACUUAUUUAUUUUUACGAAAAAACUGUUAAUUUAACACUUAGUUUUGCAGUGGAAAAUUUCAGAGUUGAUAAUUUGAAAACUAUGAUUUCGAUAAGUGAAAACGUAUAGUUUUGUCAAUUGAGUAUAUAAUGAAACAUUCGCUAUUAACUGUCGUUAAACUCAUUUUAAAUUUGCAGCGGAAAUUCCUUAGCUUUUUUAAUUUUGAAAACCAAGCAUUUAUUUUUAAUUAACAGAAACCAUGCAGGAAUCUUUAAUUGAAUAACGAAAACCACCACAAAACCCGAAACCAAAAUUAAAUCUGAAGAUUAGUCCAAAAAUCAAAAGUCUAGAAAUUUUAAUUAUUAACAAAUCAAACCAUUUUAUGCGAGAAAACCAAUUUGAGUUCCCAAAAGCCAUCCAAUCCUAAUUUUGACGAUUACCUGAAAUUGUGAAAUAAAAAGCAGUGAGCUAUAAAGUUCAGUGUGUAACUUAACUCAAACAGAGAUACAGAUGACAUAGCAAAUAGAUCAAAGCAUCGCAGAGAAUUUCAUCAAAUUCAAAUGGAAAAAUUGUGCAUGCAUGGUUAUGUCAAUGCAGUAUUUUCAAAAAACAUAAUGCAGAUGUUUCAGAAAACUUCCUACCCAACUCUACUGCACACCAAAAAGAGUUCUCGAGAACUCGUCCAUCCAGAAGCACACCAACAGAUAAUUGUGGACAAUGCCACCAGAGUUGCAAUUAAAUUACAAGAUCAGAUAUAAAUAGUCAAACCAGAUAUGUGGCUAAACCACCAGAUAGUGCAGAUCAUUAAACUGUCUGAACUUCCUCCUGACAAUAAUAUCCCAACCCCAUGCAAUGUGUCAUGACAUGCAAAUUCAGAAUCAAAACGGUAAGCAUGUUGAACAUGCAAUCAUAUAUUUAACAGAAAUGAAUAGGCAUGGAAUUUCUAUUCUUUGCAAAAUAAAUAUGUCCGAAUUCAAUAAUAACAAAUCAAUUUAAUCAGAAUAGCCACAAAGUCAGAUGCCAUGAGAAUUGGAACAAAACGUAACAUAUCAAUAAUCGUAUAUACAUAGCUAAUAAAAAACAUGCUAAUGAUGCUCACUAAUUUACAUAUCAUAACCAUAUUAUAUAAGGCAACAUACCUCCAGAAGUUACACAAUCAUAUCGGAACAACAAUUUUCAUUUAACAUACAUCGUAUGUAACACUUAUCAAACCUAUAAAAUCACUAACCUCAAACCUCACUUCAAAACACGACCCUAACUAAAUUUUACUAAAAAUGGACUUACACGCCCGUGUGGUCCACACAGCUUGGCACACGCCCGUGUGGCCCACACAGCUCACCACACGCCCAUGUGGCAUCAGUAGUGAAUUUUAUGGCUUCGCGUCGUUCGCUGUUUUUCAAGAUUAUCGUUAUACACCUAGUCAUUUUUUUUGAGAUGUUGACACUAAAGUAGCAAUUCCUACCUUGCACACGAUGACAGAACUAAACCAAUUAGCAAAAUCACCCAACUUAAUCUUAGAGUAUUCAACCCUUGCUCAAACUGAGCAUUCGGCUCUUGCAAACCAACACCAGUCAGUCCCUAAAUUGAGUAGUCGACUACUUACCCAAAGAUGAAACUGUUUCCAAAGAUCUCAAUUCACAUGAGGGUUAAUGCGUCUCACACUCCUCAUCUAUCAAAUUCAUCACAUCAGUUAAACCAAAAUCUCACAAACCAAACCAAAACUUCACAUACCUUCCUUGAAAAAGAAUAGAGCAAAUAAAUAACACCAUUAAAGAGGACAUGAAAAACACUUACCUCGAUCAAGAAUACCCUGACAACCUGCUCAAAACUUGCACAACUACGAAUGAACACAGAAGAAGCAACGGUUUAGGACUAAACGUCUAAAUGGCAACAAGUGAAAAGGAAGCUCGACAUCAAAAAUAAAAUGAGUAGCAAAAGAAUGAGAAGGAGAAAUCAGAAAAGGGUAAAAAAAUGGCAGAGAGGUGUUGCCAUCAACAAAAAUGAAAAAAAAAAUAGAAUGAUGGAGAAAGUGGGGGAGAGGAACAUCAACAUGAUUUGUACUUGGGACCUAAAGGUAAGCUAAAGCCUCACUACUGAACCAACAAACUCAUUCUUAUCAAGAAACUAACAAGAAUAAAAUAUAACCUACAUUUGACCAGUCAAGUGUAGGAGUAAAACAAUAAAAACUCAAGGGAAGGAAUUUGAACACAAGACCUUAUGCAUAUAUACAGAGCACUUAACCACUAAACCAAAUCAAAUCAGUUAAUAUGAUUCCUACAACAUUUAUUCAAAACAGGACGUGACCACUCUUGGUUCACUAAUCUCAAUUCCUACUAACCCGAUUUUUGGGAUGUGACCAUUUGUAAUUAAAUUAUUGAAGUUUGAAGCGAGAAUUAAAUUAAUUAAUCAUCAUAGUUUUACUGAAUGAGACAAUUAAAUAUAUUUCCUCAUAGAUUCUAAUACAGUAAAGUUGUCAUGACUUUAACGGAAUUAGAAUUGGGUUGAGAAAAUAAUUUAAUUAAUUAAUAUUUUGAGAAAUAGAAAAUAGUUAUUGGGUUGAAUAAAUUAUAAGUGUUGAAUAAAAGUCUAAAUAACGCAUAUAAUUGUACCCAAUACACGAGACAAGCCCGAAAGCCCAUCCUGAAGGAUGAGGGGUGACAAACCCUAGUACACCUUAGGGUUGUCGUUGCCUCUUGUAUUCUACUCUUAGUAGAAUAUUGUAUUUUCUAUUAAAAUAUUAUUAUUUAAUUACUCAUUGUUUAAGCAAAACUCUUGUAUAUAUUUUUUAUAAAUAGGAACUAUGAGCUAACUUAAAACACAAUUAAUUGGGUGUCGUUAUUCUAUCAGAAAAUAAUGAAAAUUUAUUUAUAAGAAUAAAUUCUAUUUUUUGUGAAAGCUCAUAGUUUCUAAUUCCCAUAAAGAGAAUUAACUUUUACACUGAAAGUCAAUAAAUUUUUUUCAUUUUGUGUAUUCAGUUCGUUUUGUUUGAGCAUAUACUCAAAACUAUUCAUGGUUCGAGAAUAGUAGAGAAGACAGUUUGAUAGAAAGAUGAGAAACAACUUAAACUGCGUUGUACAAAGCAUAUGUAAUAAUUCAGUUAAGAGUUUAUUAUUAUAAAUAUCACAAGGCUUGAUUUUAAGAAAAAAAUUUAAAUUUUCGAUGUGCCUAAAAACGCUGUUUUCUAAACCAAAUUUUCUUAUAAGUUAUAGUUACUUUUAAUUAGUUGUUUUUAUUCUAAUUAUAGUUAGUUUGAGUUCAGAUAGUUACUAAGUUACUUAUUGAGUUCAGUGCUUGUAAUGAUUGAUUUUGUUUAGAGUAGUUGAUAUAGGUGUAAGUCAUAACUUAAAAAAAAAAAAGAGGAGGCAAAUCUUAAAAUUACACAUGAACUUUGAUUCAAUGUGCAGUUUGAUAUAUAAAUUUUGAUUUAAUGCAAUUAUACACAUAAAACUUUGAUUAAGUUCAAACGUAUAUAUGAAACUUUCAUUUUGAUUCAAUUAUACAUAUUUGAAGAAAUAAAUACAUCAAAUUAUUUUUAUAAUUGAUAAAUAUAUUAUUUAUAUAUGCAAUAAAUAAACAUAAAAUGAUGUUAUAUCAAUAAAUUUUAAUAGUUAGUGAAGAUUGGACCAAAUCAAAAUUUCAUGUAUAAAAUUACACAAAAUCAAAGUUUAUGUGGAGUAUGCCUUGCAUUUCGGUCAAAUUUAGGCACAAACAGAGAGAAACGUUGUGACGAUGCGACGAUGAAAAUAGGGGAGAAGUAGAAAUGACACGUGGCAAUAUGACAGGGGAUGCCAUGAUAUGGCGACGUGUAAUGUAAUAAUAGACCUUUUACAACCUUAGAAAAAUUAACCCAUUACACGUUUAGGUAUUAGCUUUUACAAACUUUCAAAGAAUAUUGUGUUUAUGUUUUGAGGAUUUUUAUUUUGAGUUUUGGGGUUUAGUUUUAUCUCCAUCUUUGUACUCUUUGUUUUUGCAGUUAUAGUGAAAUUAUUUUUACCCGUGAUUUUUUUAUCCUCUUCGGAGGAGUUUUUUCACUUAAAAUAUUUAUGUUCGAUCUUUUAAAUUUCUUCGUUAUUUUAUUUGUUCGUUGUUUAAUCGAGUUUAUCCUCAAUAAACCGGUAUCAAAUCUAGUUCGAUUUUCGCAUUCAACCUGUUCAGAGAUGACAACAACAAGGUUUGAUAUUGAUAAGUUCGAUGGCAUCACAACUUUCAAUUUGUGGCAAGUUUAAAUAAUGAAAAAUUUGAUUCAGGACGAUCUUAAGAAGAUCCUUACAGAGAAGAAGCUUGCAGACAUGGAUAAAUCAAAAUGAGAUAGGUUAAAUAAAAAAAACUAUAUCCAUGACUCAAUUAUGUCUAACAAAUAAUGUGUUGCAGGAGGUUUUGAUGGAGAAAAUGACAUUCACCUUAUGGAAAAGGUUAGAAACCCUUUACGCGACAAAGUUUCUGGCUAAUCGAUUGGUGUUGAAACAACGUCUAUACACAUUCUGCAUAAAUGAAAGUGAGCACCUUAAAGGUCACAUCGGUCAGUUUAUUACUCUUUUGAAUGACUUAAAAAAUGUUGAGGUUCAGAUUGACAAUGAAGGUUAUUAUUGUGCUAUUUACCCCCUUCAUAUAAGUCUUUCAAGAAGACCCUAAUUUAUGGUAGAGAUAACCUCUCAUUUGAGGAUGUGAAAGGUCAUUUGUUGAGUAAAGACAAACUUGAAAAUGAGUUCGGUUCAGAUAGGCAAGCCUAAGUUUUGGUAGCAUUAGGGAAGCGAGGCAAAAGAUGUUGCUAUUGUAAGAAGUUAGGUCACGUUAAGGCAGAUUGUUACAAACUGCGAAAUAAAAGGGCUGCUGAGAGCAAUGAGGAAGAUUUAGCUGGUGCUAAUUUGGACAAUGAUAAGGGUGAUUGUUUCUUGUUGGUGUCAACAAGUGAAAGCUCCCAGCUUACAUCCGAGUGAAUCUUGGAUUCGGGGUGUUCUUUCCACAUGUGUCCCAAUAGGGAUUGGUUCUCCGCAUACAAUUUAAUUGAAGGUGGAGUUGUGUCUGACUUAAAGAAAAUCUCAGAUCAAGAAAACUGAUAUUGAUACUAUUCAGAUCAAGAUGCAUGACGAGACAAUUAGGACACUAUCAGAUGUCAGGCAUGUGUCUAACUUAAAGAAAAUCUCAUCUCCUUAAGAAUUUUGAGCUCGAAGGGUUGUAAAAUUAACAUCGAGUCAAACAAAAUUAAAGUAUCUCGUGGGACUCUCAUUUUGAUGAAAGGUAAAAAGAUUGGCAGUCUUUAUGUUUUGGAAGGAUCGACGGUGAUCGGUGAAAUCGGGUGUCCCUUAUUCGUUAUGGACUCGAAUUUGACUCAUUUAAAGCAGAGGCAACUAGGUCAUAGGAGGGAAAAAGGUAUGACCGUUUCAUAUAAGAGAGGUUCUCUACUGGGUGGAGGUUUUGAAAAGAUAAGGCAGUGUGUUCGUGAAAAUAAAAUCCAGAUCAGUUUUGAUUUGACAGUACACAAAUCGAAGAUUAUAAGUCUUCCAGCUUCUAGGCACAAUUUUAACUCAGUUAAUAUCUUGCAUAGUUCAAGAUAGGCCUAUGGUAGGCUUUGGCAAAGAAGACGUUGUGGAAAUACGAGUCAAGAUGGAGAUUUGUAGAGUAUGCCUCGCAUUUCGGUCAAAUUUAGGCACAAACAAAGAGCGAGUCGCGACGACGAAAAUAGGGAAAAUCAGAAAUGACGUUGCACCAACACGAUAGGGGACGUUGCAAUGUGGUGACGUGUCAUGCAAUUUUCUCGAUUUUCUUCUCCUAGUUAAACUUUGAGUAUUUGUUUCAGUCGAACUCUGGUUAGUGUAGAUUAUUUUAAUAUUAUUUGACCUACGAAUUUAGCAUAUAAAUAGGCCUUUUACAAAUUUUGAAAACUCAACCUAUUACACAUUUAGGUAUUAGCUUUUAUAAGCUUUUAGAGAAUUUUGUAUUUACGUUUUGAGGGUUCUUAUUUCGGGGUUUAGUUUUAUCUCCAUCUUUGUACUCCUUUUUUUAUUGUUAUAGUGAAAUUAUCUUUAUCCGUGAUUUUUUGUCCUCUUCGGAGAGAUUUUUCCACGUAAAAUAUUUGAGUUUGAUCUUUUUAAUUUCUUCAUUUUUUUUACUUAUUCGUUGUUUAAUCGAGUUUAUCUCCAACAAAUUAUGUAUAAAAUUACAUACUAAACUAAAGUUCAUAUAUAAUUUUGAGAUUUAUCCCUAAAAUAUAUAAAAAAAUCAAAAAAUAAUUUUAUUUUUAUUUAAAAAUAAAAAAAUCUCUAUAAUUAAGGUUAAUUUCAUCAAAUAUGCUCUUAUUCUAAAUUGGUUUUUCAUUUUAAAAACAUUCUAAUUAAAUAAUUAAAGUAUUAGAAUUAGAUGAAUCAAAUCCUUUCAUCGUACCUAAUUGUCAUUGAAAAUGUCUUAAUUUUGAUAUUAUGUUGGUUUUAAAAUUAUUACACGUUAAAUAAUGAUCUUGUAAUUUUCUGGGGAUAUGGUUUUUUAAUUUUUUUACUUUUAAAAAAUAGUUAUUCACUUUCUCAAUAAAUGCAGCAAUUUCGAUAAUGUAAUUAUAUAUAUAUAUUUAUAUAUAUUUAAGGUCUGUUUAUUUGAUAUAAAAAAGUUGACGAAAAAUAUUUUUCUCAUUUAUUUUUGUGUUAAUUUAAGGAAAAAUAAACUUAAUAUAAAUUUCUUUCAAAACAAUUUGUUUUUUGCCGGUUGAGUUUUAACUCGAUUGACAUGAGUAUUGUUGCGGAUAGAGAAGGAUCUGAGCUCUAGUGUGUUGAAGCACAUUAUCCUCCUAUUUAUGGGUUGGGGAAGGGGCUAUGAAUAAUUGUAGACAUUGUGCUAAAAAAAAUAGAUAUGAUCAGAACCUAUAAUGAGAUUGCUCAAAAAAUACUACUAAGUCUUUUCUUUGUUUUAUGUUUAUAUUUUCCCUUUUUUAUAUUAUUAAUUUUAUAAAAUCUGAAGGCUUCAAUAUAAUAAUGGCUUAAGCUUUCUAAAGAUGACCAAGAAGAAUCUGAUACUCACAUUGGUCAUCAACGGUAGAGCUGUGAGAAGAUUACUUUUGUCGGCUUCAAAUUUACUUUGUGCUUGCUUAUUUAAGCCAUUAAAUAUUUGGUUGUAUUACUUUUUGGUUAUAAUGGAAGAUAGCCGGAAUUAGAAUGAUGGAGCGGUUAAUCUCCGUUUGUUUACGGUUGAUUUUGGUGUUGGAUUUGGUUUUCAGAGUUUCAGGAAAUAAGGAAGGUUCGUCAUGAUUGUUUCCUCUUAUUUUCUUGUUUGAACUUUGCAAAUGGUUUAGCAGUGGCAUAAGGUUGGCUGUUUGUUUUAAAGUUCAGUUAGCUUGGGUGCAGUAAUUGACUUGACUGGAGAAUGAUCGUAUGCGACCUUCAAUGAUCAGUUGCUUUAUUUUUGUAUGAAACAGGUGAUGCUUUGAAUGCAUUGAAGAACAAUUUGGCUGAUCCUAAUAACGUUUUGCAAAGUUGGAACUCGACCCUUGUUAAUCCUUGCACAUGGCUUCAUGUUACAUGUAAUUGUGAAAAUAGUGUAACAAGAGUGUAAGUUUAUAUCUCAUAUUACUACUGCUUUUGUGUUUCUUUCGACUUUUCUAGUUUGACAUAGUAAACGCUUUCUUCCUUCUCAAUUUAGGGAUCUCGGGAAUUCAAAUCUGUCUGGUCAUUUGGUUCCACAGCUUGGACAGCUUCCGGCUUUGCAGAAUUUGUAAGUCGAUAGUGUAGGCCUAGUCUAUUUUUGGUUGACCCCAAAAUAGAUAACUCAUUUCUUACAUGCUACCUCUCAUUGCUAGAAUAUUGAGACAUACAUAAAGGAAAAACAAAACACCAGCAUGCUUUUGUCAUCCUAGUAACCAAAACUGACCAGAAUGUCUGAGUUACUCAGGUAUACUAGUAGAAAUAGUUGUAAACAAUGAUGUUCUAUGCUUUUGUCAUUACACAAUGGUUUGUAUCUGUUGUCAUCUUUCCAUUGGAUUUGGUUGCAUUUUCAUAGAUACAUGCAUGGGUUAUGUGCUUCUAUUGAACUUCUUUUGCUGAAGAUUACCAAUUUUUUUUAUGACAGGGAGCUUUAUGGUAAUAACAUAUCUGGUACAAUCCCAGAGGAUCUUGGAAAUUUGACUAACUUAGUGAGCUUGGAUCUUUACUUCAAUACUUUAACCGGACACAUUCCAUCUACUCUGGGCAAGCUUCAAAAGCUACGAUUCCUGUACGAGUACAUUUUUUGAAGUUAAUUUACUUAAUUUCUUUGCCCUCUUGCUUUCUGGUCAUGUGUUUUAGUAUAUGUAGAAUGCCUUUUAUGUGUUGAUAUAUUGCUAGCUGAACUGGAUAAGUAAAUUGUAUUUUUACUAAGAAUGUAUGUCCUUAUUUAUAAUUUUUGUAGAUAUAAGUAUUUCCUCUUCGCUUCUAAUGUACGCAUAACAUUGAUAAGUCCAAAAAGUCUCCGGGCUGUAAUAGCCAUCCUCGCCUGAUGUGAGUGUCAUGUGGUCUAAGUCCAAUAAAUUGCGAGGUCAAUGGUGUUUGGUUGAUUUGGGCAUCAUAGAAAUGGCUUUGUGUAGUAGGCUGCUGGACAUAAUGGUGCUUGGUUGAUAUGGGCAUCAUAGAAAUGGUUUCUUGGUUAAUAGGCUGCCGAGCCAAUGGUGCUUGGUUAAAAUGGGCACUAUACAAAUGGUUCUGUGUAGUAGGCUUCACUAAGCAUGAGUUCUUUUAAGUUACGUAUCUAGUCAUCUUAUCAAUAUGCAAUAUUUUGAUGUUCUCUUUCUGUGGAGUAGGCGUCUCAACAACAACACGUUGACGGGUCAAAUUCCUAUGCCCUUAACUACUAUUAUGUCACUGCAAGUGCUGUGAGUGCUGCUGUUAAUAUUUUUUUUCACACAUUAGUUGUUUAACCUUUGCUGCAAGAAUAAUAAAUUAAUGGUGCGGGAUGUUGUACGAUGCCAUGCAGGGAUCUUUCAAACAAUAAGCUAGAAGGAGAUAUUCCAGCUAAUGGUUCCUUUUCACUCUUCACUCCUAACAGGUUUUUCUCUUGCUGUUUCAUUUUUCUCUCACCCUAACUCCAGAUCCUCAUCUCCACUGCUUGUUCCUGUUUUAUCAUUUCUGUACUCUUAGGCCAGCCUCUUGAAUUAAUGCUUCUCUUGUUCACAGUUUUGCUAAUAAUCGAUUGAAUAAUCCUCCACCUGCUCCGCUGCCUCCUAUCACACCUACAGCUCCAAUUCCAUCAGGUUUGUUCCGGUUUUUAUUAAUAAUAAUUAUUGUUAUUAUUAUUAGCUUUUAAUUGUGCUUUAACUUUGAGGCCUGCUUCACUUUUAUUUGUAUUUUAUUGGGAAUUGAGAUAUUCCUUCGCAUUUUUCUUUGCAUUCGCAAAUUUUUUGGUAUUAACAUGUACCUGUAUCAUACGAAAAAUUGAUGUAGAUUUGAGUAUAUUGCUCAUCCUCAGCUUUUUUACAUCUGCGUCUGUUUUUUAAGAAGGUGCCUUUGAGCUCAGAUCUAAAAUCUGAUUACAAUAGUACCUAGGAUGGCUUUAGGUUCCUUUGUGAGCUAGAACAUUAUCUGUGCCUAUGAUUUCCUAGCCCACUAGUUCUCUCAGUUGAAAUGCUGCCUGCUCCAUUGGUGUUGGUACCAGAUGUUAAUAGUUGCGAAUAUUCGUGAUAUAGGUGUUUUGUGUUAACAGUAUCUAGAUUUAUCUAAUUUCAUACUUGCAGGUAAUAGUGCCACUGGUGCUAUUGCUGGAGGAGUUGCUGCUGGCAUUGCCCUGCUGUUUGCUGCUCCCGCAAUUGUAUUUGCUUGGUGGCUAAAAAAGAAACCACAUGAUCAUUUCUUUGAUGUCCCUGGUUAGUGGUUUAUCAAAAGAUAAUUUUAUUUUUAAUUGACUUUAUGUCAUCGUGUGCUUGUAUUUACUUUCUUGUAGUUUUCUUUACAGCUGAGGAGGACCUAGAAGUUCAUCUAGGACAACUUAAGAGGUUUUCUUUACCUGAACUACAAGUGGCAACCGAUAAUUUUAGCAAUAAAAAUAUUCUGGGUAGAGGUGGUUUUGGUAAAGUUUAUAAAGGUCGCUUAGCUGAUGGUUCUCUAGUGGCAGUAAAAAGACUGAAGGAGGAGCGCACUCAAGGUGGAGAGUUGCAGUUCCGAACAGAGGUGGAAAUAAUAAGUAUGGCUGUGCAUCGGAAUCUAUUACGUAUUCGUGGCUUUUGCAUGACCGCUACUGAACGGCUGCUAGUCUAUCCCUUUAUGGUUAAUGGUAGCGUUGCAUCCUGUUUAAGAGGUACUGGCUGUUUUCUCCUCGUUUAUUUCUUUAGUCUCAUGUUUCACAUUUGUGCUAUGCUCUCUGUAUUAGGUGCGCCAUUUAUCAUAUGUAUGUUCUUCAGGUUGCCAAUUUUUUUCUGACUGUUAAUUAUUAAAUCUAAUGUUAGCCUCAAUUAUCAAAUAUCUUCUCUUUUGCUUCUUCAGUUUGAGAUGAUAUUCUGAGCUACUGAUCACCUACUGGAAACUUGUAUUAUAACAUUUGUUAUUUUUAAAUUCAUGUGCUUGGUGAAUGUGGAUUGUCUUUGAAUCGAAGUGGAAUUGUUAGAAAUUCGUGGAUGCCAAAUACUUUUUGAACUCUUGUUACAAUGGACCAUCUAUUGAUCUGAUUUUUACAUUGUCUAGAACGUCCGGAAUCUCAAGCACCACUUGAUUGGGCUGUAAGGAAACGGAUUGCAUUAGGAGCUGCGAGGGGGCUUGCAUAUUUGCAUGAUCAUUGUGACCCUAAGAUUAUACACCGUGAUGUAAAGGCUGCAAAUAUAUUUUUGGAUGAGGAAUUUGAAGCAGUUGUCGGAGACUUUGGGUUGGCCAAAUUAAUGGACUACAAAGAUACACACGUCACAACUGCUGUUCGUGGCACAAUUGGUUAUAUAGCUCCUGAAUACCUAUCAACCGGAAAGUCAUCAGAGAAAUCUGAUGUUUUUGGCUACGGUGUCAUGCUUCUUGAACUCAUUACAGGACAGAGGGCUUUCGAUCUAGCUGGGCUUGCAAAUGAUGAUGAUGUCAUGUUGCUUGAUUGG